AUUGAACGCUGGCGGCAGGCCUAACACAUGCAAGUCGAGCGGAUGAAGGGAGCUUGCUCCUGGAUUCAGCGGCGGACGGGUGAGUAAUGCCUAGGAAUCUGCCUGGUAGUGGGGGAUAACGUCCGGAAACGGGCGCUAAUACCGCAUACGUCCUGAGGGAGAAAGUGGGGGAUCUUCGGACCUCACGCUAUCAGAUGAGCCUAGGUCGGAUUAGCUAGUUGGUGGGGUAAAGGCCUACCAAGGCGACGAUCCGUAACUGGUCUGAGAGGAUGAUCCGUCACACUGGAACUGAGACACGGUCCAGACUCCUACGGGAGGCAGCAGUGGGGAAUAUUGGACAAAGGGCGAAAGCCUGAUCCAGCCAUGCCGCGUGUGUGAAGAAGGUCUUCGGAUUGUAAAGCACUUUAAGUUGGGAGGAAGGGCAGUAAGUUAAUACCUUGCUGUUUUGACGUUACCAACAGAAUAAGCACCGGCUAACUUCGUG
This 484-nucleotide ribosomal RNA is filed under the name uncultured bacterium. Its description in RNAcentral is "partial 16S ribosomal RNA". It matches the Rfam family "Bacterial small subunit ribosomal RNA", at positions 30 to 507 of the family's 1533-position model. The record is from RNAcentral.